GCCAUGGAAUUAUCUAUGUAUCUCAGAAAGUUUUCUACUAUCUCUGGUUUCUUCUAGUGAAAACAGAAAAUGAUGUCACUUCAUGACUAUACAGUCAAAUGUUCUUGAUGAUGAUUGUAAUACCAUUAUUUCCGUCUCAUGGUCUGUGAAAAGGAUACAUGUACAUUCUCUCCUAUAUGUUAGGAAGGUUUGAGUCUCUUCAUUAUCUUCUCUUUGAUGUUCUCCUCUUAAUUAAAUGAAUGAGACCUGACAUCCUCCAGAAAGGAAAAGUAUUGGUCCUCUAGUAUCUCUUGUAUUGAAGAACCAGGAGACCACAUGUGGCCAACCUCUCUCUCGUCCCUCAAGAUCCCCUCGUCACCAUACAAGUGAGAGAUCAUGUGACUUUUGAUGAUAGUCAUGUGAUGUUGUGUAGGUAAGGAUGAGGAGUGGGUGGAGUGAGGGGAAGUGUGGUCAGAAAAGAAGUUGUGAUGAUGAAAGCUAUGCUACCUCCUGAAAGUUCCCUGUCAUGGACUGGUGAUAUAUUAUGUAGUGGUCAAUAUUACAGUGGGACCCACGUCUACCAGGACACUAUUAGACCACACCCAGGAGGUCUGUGAGAUUCACUGGUCACCAAGUCAUCAGCAACUUGUGUUAGGAGGAAAUGAUAAUAAAUAUAGCUGCAGCUAAUAUCAUAAGAUGAUUUCUGGUUUUUCCACUGUUGCUGCUGCAGUUGUCAUUCUAUUGUGCAUCACUGAUCAAUGCACAGCUCAAGAUACUGACUGCUCUGCUCUGGCCACUGAUGGUGACUGCAGUUUUUAUAAUUGCUUGGAUACUAAAUUCCGUUGCAAUGACAAGGACUAUCCUCUUCGCCGUGGUGAACCUGACUGUCAGAAAUACAUCAGUGAAUCGAAUUGCUUCACAAAAUCAGUAAAUAUACACUGAUUGCAUUGGUGUGUGCCCUACAACCUACUAUAUUAUAGUAUUCAACUUUAUUGAAAGUAACCUAGGGGUUAGUUGAUGUACUCUCAAAUAGAAUUUCAGGCAUCAGAGUUGUCGCUAGUAGAUAACAUUGGAGACAACUAUACAUAUAGUGGGUCAAGCAUGGCUUUCUAGGGUUCGUAGAUGUUUGAUGCAGGCUAUUGUCAACAGUCCUCUCUAUAAUGAUGAAAGUGCUACUUGUGACCAGUUGGCAACAUUUGCCAUUGCAAGUCGUUCUAAAUGUUACAUUGAUAAUGGGUUCUGUACAGCUAUAUUCUUAUCACCUCAAUGUCAGAACCUUAAUUGUAUUCGAAAUAGAAUUUAUCCUGGUACAAAAAGUUGGAGUAAGCAGUCAAUAGAUCAGAUUAUAAAGACAACUGAGUCUUGCCCUUCCCAGAUUUCUACAUUCCUUACUGAUGCUCAGCAGUGCAAUUUGGAUAGUCCAGACAGUGCUCUUCCAGCUGCUAUACAUGAUCAUUUAGAUUGUACUGCAAGGGCUUUUGAUUUUAUUAUUUUAUUGGAUGCAUCUGGAAGUGUUGGGGCUGAUAACUUUGAGAUAAUGAAAAACUUUGUUGCAAACAUGCUGUCUAACUUUACCAUUGGACCAGAUGACACUCGUGUUGGAGUCAUUAGUUUUGCUAGCAGUCCAUCAAUUGUUAUCCCAUUGGGUUCCAUUAAUACUUAUUCACCAAUUGGCUACUGCUGUUAGAGGUAUAACAUACACUGAAGGAGGUACAAAUACUGCUGCAGCAUUGGAUUUACUAAGUACAGCAUUUGCUAC
Molecule: unclassified non-coding RNA, 1738 nt
Filed under: Amphimedon queenslandica
Lineage: Eukaryota; Metazoa; Porifera; Demospongiae; Haplosclerida; Niphatidae
Description: uncharacterized LOC105312654, transcript variant X2
Source: RNAcentral